GUCCCGUUCGUCUAGCCCGGCCUAGGACACCGCCCUUUCACGGCGGCAACAGGGGUUCGAAUCCCCUACGGGACGCCA
RNAcentral lists this transfer RNA (78 nucleotides) under Acidobacteriota bacterium. RNAcentral's name for it is "Acidobacteria bacterium tRNA-Glu". It matches the Rfam family "tRNA". From Rfam's summary of the family: Transfer RNA (tRNA) molecules are approximately 80 nucleotides in length. Their secondary structure includes four short double-helical elements and three loops (D, anti-codon, and T loops). Further hydrogen bonds mediate the characteristic L-shaped molecular structure. tRNAs have two regions of fundamental functional importance: the anti-codon, which is responsible for specific mRNA codon recognition, and the 3' end, to which the tRNAs corresponding amino acid is attached (by aminoacyl-tRNA synthetases). tRNAs cope with the degeneracy of the genetic code in two manners: having more than one tRNA (with a specific anti-codon) for a particular amino acid; and 'wobble' base-pairing, i.e. permitting non-standard base-pairing at the 3rd anti-codon position. RNAcentral also lists the same sequence under 3 other names. Lineage: Bacteria; Pseudomonadati; Acidobacteriota. The record is from RNAcentral.